ACUCAAAGGAAUUGACGGGGGCCCGCACAAGCAGUGGAGUAUGUGGUUUAAUUCGACGAUACGCGAAAAACCUUACCAAGUCUUGACAUCCAACUAACGAGGUAGAAAUACAUUAGGUGCCCCUUCGGGGGAAAGUUGAGACAGGUGGUGCAUGGUUGUCGUCAGCUCGUGUCGUGAGGUGUUGGGUUAAGUCCCGCAACGAGCGCAACCCCUACGGUUAGUUGCUACGCAAGAGCACUCUGAUCGGACUGCCGUUGACAAAACGGAGGAAGGUGGGGAUGACGUCAAAUCAUCAUGCCCCUUAUGACUUGGGCCACACACGUACUACAAUGGCUGUUCACAAUGGGUCGCUAUGGAGUAAUCCGGUGCUAAUCCCUUAAAAACAGCCUCAGUUCAGAUUACAGGCUGAAACUCGCCUGUAUGAAGUAGGAAUUGCUAGUAAUCGCGAAUCAGAAUGUCGCGGUGAAUACGUUCCCGGGCCUUGUACACACCGCCCGU
Molecule: ribosomal RNA, 498 nt
Filed under: uncultured bacterium
Lineage: Bacteria
Description: bacterial SSU rRNA
Rfam family: Bacterial small subunit ribosomal RNA
Source: RNAcentral